RNAcentral lists this long non-coding RNA (3197 nucleotides) under Podarcis lilfordi (Lilford's wall lizard). The record is from RNAcentral. Lineage: Eukaryota; Metazoa; Chordata; Lepidosauria; Squamata; Lacertidae.
GAGUCUGUAACCUGAAGCGUCUGUAACCCGAGGUACCACUGUACUUCUGAUUUUAUGGUGUCCAGCCUACAGAAAGAUAUAUCAGCCAGAUGUUGGUGAAUGCUAAGACAGUGGAACCUCGGGUUGCGAACGUGAUCUGUGCGGGAGGCAUGCUCGCAACCCACACCGUUCGCAAACAGCAGCACCGCGUCUGCGCACGCGUGGCUUGCAGUUUGGCCCUUAUGCUCAAAGCACGAUUUAGCGCUUCUGCGCAUGCACGAGCGCUGAAACCCAGAAGUAAUCUGUUCCGGUACUUCCAGGUUUGGUGCGGUGCGCAACCCGAAAUCGUGUAACCUGAAGUGUCUGUAACCCGAGGUACCACUGUAGUUAGGGUGCUCUCAACUUUAAGCCCAGUUGCCAUGGUCAAUGUAAAGGUGCCUUGGUUUGAUUACCCUUUUCUGCUAUUGCCCUGUAUUGAUUCUGGUGCUUUGGGGCUAUAGUUAAAGUGCUAGAAUUGAAUUCCAUUUGCUCACUUUUCAUGGAUGGCUUUGCCUUUGGUUGGUGUUGGUUUUUUUUUUAACUCUGUAAGGUCAUUGAUUUGUUUGAAUGUGGUACAGUCUUCUCUUGCACUAACCCAAUCAAAAGUGUCCUCCACAUGAAACCUUUUUGUCAUGGUAAAGCUUCUCCUGAGGUUCAUGUGUUUGAUGUAGAGUUUAUUUCAAACCAAAGCAGGUAUAGACAAUUCAAAGUAGUACAAUCACAUGGGAAGACUGUACCAUGUCAGGGACUGAGUAUAUAAAGGAAUCCCAUGUUAGCUAGACCCUGCUAAUUCUUAUUCCCACUCACCCCUUCUUCCUCCUAUUCAGCCAAUUUUACAGUCAAUUUUACAAUUCUACAGUUUUACAGUGAUGGGGGAUUUUAUAAGACCAUUAGAUAGAACUGUGCUUUUAUGUAAAGGAUGAAUAAAAGUAUAAUUGAGGAAAGAAUUGCAUGGAUUUAUAAGCUUAUAAACAGAUAAACUGCAUUUUCAUGCUGGUGGUAUGUAUUUUAAAUACUGCAUAACUGUGCCUCAAUUCUCCUCCAGAGGUUUUGAGAUUCAUAAGAAUAGUUCUUUCAAAAGCCCGUUCAAUAUUUAAGGCUGUGUUUAAUGAAUGCAUGUAAGGCCCCAAAAGCAAGUAUAAGGAAAGCUAAAAAUUGUGGUUAUAGAAAUUUUCCUUAAUCUGGUUUUUUGAACUCUUGUCUUUCUGCUUGAAAGAUUUUUUCCAUGAACAUGUUGCAGUAUUUCUGUUUGUCCCAUAAAAUGCUCAAGGUUUGGACAGUUUUAGAAUCUGGGAAUGACUUCACGCAUUCCCUCAUUGUUUCUACUUGCUAUAAAGGCAACUGCCAGAGUGAAUGGAAGGGCCUUCUUAGGGAUGGCACCCAUGCUUUGAUGUGCUUUUUCACAGACUCACAGAAUCAUAGAGCUGGAAGGGACCACAAGGGUCAUCUAGUGCAACCCUCUGCAAAGCAAGAAUCUUUUUACCCAUGACCAUUUACCAUUUUUAUUCUGCUGUUUUUGUGGGUUUCCUAGCUUUUAGGUUAUAGAACUUGGGUGGUUCUGUGUUAUGUUGCUUCUUGACUUGAUUAUUGAUAAUAGAAAUGUAUUGCAAAGUUCAGAACUUAUCAUAUGAUAAAUUACAAGCAAGCACUUGGUGAUUUGCAUUUCAGAUUUAGAGUAUGGAUCAAAGAAAUCAUCCUUUAAUAUUCAUGAAGGACGAACUGUGAGACCUGGGAAUAGAAAAGCAACAGAACAAUUUGUUUUAUCCUUCUACUGAGCAGAGCAAUAAACUGUAAACAUGAAUAGAUUGAAUUGUUGAACUAUCUUUAAGUUUUUCGGAGUAUGUGCAAAUACCAGCUCAAGCAGGCUGUCAUUUGUUUAAAGUUGGGGGAUAUUUUUUGUUUUACCUCUAAAAGAGGCUGUUUUCUUAUUUUAGACACACCCUUCAUGUUCUUUCCACUGUGCAUAGAGGCCCAAUGACAUGUUGUUCACAAUAUUCUGAUGCCUAUUUUUAUCCUGCAGCUCUGUUCGUAAACAAAGGCACCACGUGUAAUCCCCACCUAUCCAGCAGAAUUAUUUCCAUUUUGCCUGGUUUAAUUUUGGUCAGAAUUGGCAUAUAAAAGUGUACCAUUUCCAUAAAAUCAUUUGCAGCAGGAUGCCUGCAAUGUUUGACAUGCGGGUCGAAAGUGAGUUUAAACAUUUGCCAGGAAAUUAAAUUGUGAAGGGAAACCUAGACACAUUUUACACAAUCAAGACUUAAGGUUUGAAACAUCUGCAAGUAAGCUGUUACAUGCCUCAUGGGUUUUCAUUAUAUUGUUGGGUGUUUUUUCUCUCUUUGCAAACAGUACUGUCCCCACCCACUGCUUUCAGAUGAGAAAAGCAGGAUGUGCCGAUCUUCUCAAGCCAUAGACUUCAAGGUGGCAGAAAGCAAAGGUGCAGGCCACUUUUGCUUGUACCUGAAUCUUGGCGCAUCAGCUCUUGAGUUUAGCCCUGGAAAAGCCUGUGUGAAACCUUCCUCCUGAUUUGAUAAACCAUGUCCCAUAUUUUUUUCCUCAGAGGCUGUGCUUUCUCACCUAUCUCCACUUUAUUCAGUGAUUUGCUUAUUAUCACUUUCUGCAUAUCGAUUUUUAAUCACACAGUUUUAUCUGAUGGUAUUGUAUUUAUAUUGUGCUGUGCUUUCAUCAUAGGGUUUAAUGCUUUGAUCCAAACUUCUGCUUCUCCUCCUCCUCUUGUUGUUUCUGCUUUUUCCUUUAUGUCCCAUUAUAUCCUUAGAGUCAGGCAAAAAUGACCUCUUGUGUAACCUGCCAAGUAAGAACAGGAAAGAACAUUAUUUUUUGUUCCUGCUGCUUCUGUUGCAUAGCUGUGGAACUCCUUUCCCUUAGAGAUUAAUUUGAUCAUUUCCUAGAAGUCAUGUUAAGACUUCUGUUUCACCUACAGCUGUUGUUCAAUAUGCAUGCCAUGGUCUUAGUUUAGAGAGUUUUGAUACCUUGAGAAAAUAGCAUACACAGUCUAAAAAACUCUUUUUGGACAACAUCUAAUUAUUUCUCAGGAGUACCUAUAUUUCUGUCCAUCUCACUGGCUCUACACGGAGUGCCCAUUGUGGUCACCAACACGGUGCCCUCCAGAUGUUGGAGACUACAAGUCCCAUCUGUCCCAGCCAGAAUGGCCCAGCGUUCAAAAU